This 180-nucleotide ribosomal RNA is filed under the name uncultured Eubacteriales bacterium. RNAcentral describes it as "uncultured Clostridiales bacterium partial 16S ribosomal RNA". It matches the Rfam family "Bacterial small subunit ribosomal RNA", at positions 154 to 334 of the family's 1533-position model. Lineage: Bacteria; Bacillati; Bacillota; Clostridia; Eubacteriales. The record is from RNAcentral.
GAACCGGGAUUAAUACCGCACAAAAUCGUAGAAACACAUGUUUUAACGGUCAAAGAUUUAUCGGUCAUAGAUGGGCUCGCGUCUGAUUAGCUAGUUGGUGAGAUAACAGCCCACCAAGGCGACGAUCAGUAGCCGGUCUGAGAGGAUGAACGGCCACAUUGGAACUGAGACACGGUCCAA